UCGAUGUGAGAUUUCCAACCAGAAUAAGUUAUAACAGUUUGAAAGCAUGUGUGAAUGUGAAGUUGUAUGGUUGUUGAAAUAGCAAAGUAAAGGAUUGCAUGGCAUGGAAGGUGAAUAAUGGGAGUGUUAUAUAAAUUAUUGGAAGAGAGGGAAAAGAAGAGUUGGCAUAUGAGAGGAUAGAGAUUAGAGAAAUUAAGAAAAAGAAAGUGUAAAGCUAAGUAGCUGGAAAUGAGGGAAAUGCUGUUAAAGUGAGGGACAAGAAGACAAGGCCUGGGCUUGAAAUGCACGCAUGCUUUGCCUACUAACAGCAAUUUCCCUACUCACCAUAACCUAAAACCUCUCUAUCUCAGACACGCCAACCUGUUUUCCAACCUUUUCCUUUCUUUCGACUCACUAACACAAUGUUUUCCUUCCCUUUUUCUUUAUUGCAUCCCUUUUCUUAUUGCCAUUCUUUUCUGUGACCUUUAUCAAUCUUUGUGUACACAUUAUACAACCUCUGUCUUUUUCCAACGAACCACCUAAAGUGCCUACUCACCCUUCCAAUCUCCAUCUCUCAUUCUUUUAUAUAAUUCUUACACUCCCCACAUUCACCACAACAUAUAAACUUCUUCCACAAUCAACAACCAUCACCAUUCUUUAUAAUCUCAAUUCAUUAUAACGGCAACUACUCUUUGGUGUUCAAAUUAGGAAAAUGAUAUUUUGACACCAAUUUUUUGACACUAUUUUGACACUGC
This 734-nucleotide long non-coding RNA is filed under the name Vigna radiata. RNAcentral's name for it is "long non-coding RNA (VRAD_LNC005637)". The record is from RNAcentral. Lineage: Eukaryota; Viridiplantae; Streptophyta; Magnoliopsida; Fabales; Fabaceae.